CAUUCCUUGCUUUCCACCCAGCCAACUCAUUCAUUCAUUCACCCUUCCAUCUCUCUCUCUCUCUCUCUCUCUCUCAGCUAGACAAACCAAAACUCGACCGGCAAGCAACACACAGAGCAAUGGAUGGUAUCAGCUGCACCGACGAGAGCACCACCAGCAGCGACUCUCCAUCCUUCUCCCCCCCGCCCGCCAAGCCCUCCCCGCCGCCGCCGGGGAGCCUGUGGCGCGUCGGCAGCGCGGCCAGCACCGUCCUCGACCCCGCGCCGGACGGCGGCGCCGAGGCCGAGUCCCACAAGAAGCUCCUCCUCCAAGUACAAGGGCGUCGUCCCCAGCCCAACGGCCGCUGGGGCGCCCAAAUCUACGAGAAGCACCAGCGCGUCUGGCUCGGCACCUUCAACGAGGAGGAGGACGCCGCCCGCGCCUACGACAUCGCCGCCCAGCGCUUCCGCGGCCGCGACGCCGUCACCAACUUCAAGCCCGAUGGCGCCAUGGACCCCGCCGAGGCCGACUUCCUGGCCAAACACCCAAGCCCGAGAUCGUCGACAUGCUGCGCAAGCACACGUACCGCGACGAGCUAGAGCAGAGCAAGCGGAGCUACAGGGGCUCCGCCGCGGAACGGGCCGGGAGGGGCGGGUUCGGGCCGGGGCGGACAGAGUGGUCGGCCGCCGCCCGGGAGCAGCUGUUCGAGAAGGCCGUGACGCCGAGCGACGUGGGGAAGCUGAACCGGCUGGUGAUCCCGAAGCAGCACGCGGAGAAGCACUUCCCGCUGCCGGGCGGGCCGGCGGCGACGAUGAAGGGCGUACUGCUCAACUUCGAGGACGUCGGCGGGAAGGUGUGGCGGUUCCGGUAUUCGUACUGGAACAGCAGCCAGAGCUACGUGCUCACCAAGGGUUGGAGCCGGUUCGUGAAGGAGAAGAGCCUGAAGGCCGGCGACACCGUCUGCUUCCAGCGGUCGACCGGGCCGGACAAGCAGCUCUACAUCGACUUCAAGCCGCGGGGCCAGCCGCCGGCCGGCCCGGCCGCGCCGCCGCCGCCGCCCGUACAGAUGGUGAGGCUGUUCGGGGUGAACAUAAUGGAGGUGCCCUAUUGCGGUGGUGGGAAGAGAAUGAGGGAUGUGGACUUGUUGUCGUUCGAGUGUAGGAAGAAGCAGCAGAUGGUGGUUGGCGCUUUGUAGCACCUAACAUCUUCCAUCUUUUGAUCUUCUCCUUUGAACUUCUUUCCCUUAGGUUUUUGAAUUUUCCUUUUUUCCCUUAGUUGUUAUCAUGUUUUGUGAAUUAUAUGAGGAAGAAAGAGGGGGGUUAUGUUGUAGAUCCAAAUCAAUUGUAUAUUUUUACAAGAUAGAUGUUGAAGGGGGGGAAGAAGAAAAUCUAAAAAAUUAGGUGCAAAGAAGGAAAAGUCUCCUGGAAGAUAGAAAUAAUCAACAGUCAAGUUGCACCCUUUUAACAUGUGAGCUUGCAGAAUUCUUCUCUCUCUCUCUCUCUCUCUCUUUGAAUUCAAUGUUUUCUAUUUUA
This is an RNA transcript of Eucalyptus grandis, 1511 nucleotides long. It is a transcript of the gene named AP2/ERF and B3 domain-containing transcription repressor RAV2-like, with no coding region annotated. The record is from RefSeq and is a predicted model, not a curated record. The transcript has a single exon. NCBI's taxonomy places the organism in Eukaryota, Viridiplantae, Streptophyta, Magnoliopsida, Myrtales, Myrtaceae.